RNAcentral lists this ribosomal RNA (154 nucleotides) under Ramaria suecica. Its description in RNAcentral is "5.8S ribosomal RNA". It matches the Rfam family "5.8S ribosomal RNA". From Rfam's summary of the family: 5.8S ribosomal RNA (5.8S rRNA) is a component of the large subunit of the eukaryotic ribosome. It is transcribed by RNA polymerase I as part of the 45S precursor that also contains 18S and 28S rRNA. Lineage: Eukaryota; Fungi; Basidiomycota; Agaricomycetes; Gomphales; Gomphaceae. The record is from RNAcentral.
AACUUUCAACAACGGAUCUCUUGGCUUUUGCAUCGAUGAAGAACGCCGCGAAAGUGCGAAACGUAAUGUGAAUUGCAGAAUCAGUGAAUCAUCGAAUCUUUGAACGCACCUUGCACUCCUUGGUAUUCCGAGGAGUAUGCCUGUUUGAGUGUCG